UAGAGGAAGUAAAAGUCGUAACAAGGUUUCCGUAGGUGAACCUGCGGAAGGAUCAUUAUUGAAAUAAACCUGAUGGGUUGUUGCUGGUUCUCUAGGGAGCAUGUGCACGCCUUGUCAUCUUUAUAUCUCCACCUGUGCACCUUUUGUAGACCUUCUAGGUCUAUGUUGCUUUUUCAUUUACCCCAAUGUAUGUUAAUAGAAUGUUGUGACUAUAAAAACUAUACAACUUUCAGCAACGGAUCUCUUGGCUCUCGCAUCGAUGAAGAACGCAGCGAAAUGCGAUAAGUAAUGUGAAUUGCAGAAUUCAGUGAAUCAUCGAAUCUUUGAACGCACCUUGCGCUCCUUGGUAUUCCGAGGAGCAUGCCUGUUUGAGUGUCAUUAAUAUAUAUCAACCUUCUCAUUGCUGAGUGGUUUGGAUGUGGGGGUUUGCUGGCCUCUUAAAUGAGUUCAGCUCUCCUGAAAUGCAUUAGCAGAACAACCCUGUUCAUUGGCGUGAUAACUAUCUACGCUAUUGAAUGUGAGGGACAGUUCAGCUUUCUAAUAGUCCUUGGACAACUCAUCAUUUAUGUGACCUCAAAUCAGGUAGGACUACCCGCUGAACUUAAGCAUAUC
RNAcentral lists this ribosomal RNA (612 nucleotides) under Cortinarius alboviolaceus. RNAcentral describes it as "eukaryotic LSU rRNA". The stretch from base 225 to 378 matches the Rfam family "5.8S ribosomal RNA". Lineage: Eukaryota; Fungi; Basidiomycota; Agaricomycetes; Agaricales; Cortinariaceae. The record is from RNAcentral.